CUGAACCAGCCAAGUAGCGUGAAGGAUGACUGCCCUAUGGGUUGUAAACUUCUUUUAUACGGGAAUAAAGUGAGCCACGUGUGGCUUUUUGUAUGUACCGUAUGAAUAAGGAUCGGCUAACUCCGUGCCAGCAGCCGCGGUAAUACGGAGGAUCCGAGCGUUAUCCGGAUUUAUUGGGUUUAAAGGGAGCGUAGGUGGACAGUUAAGUCAGUUGUGAAAGUUUGCGG
This 227-nucleotide ribosomal RNA is filed under the name uncultured Bacteroides sp. Its description in RNAcentral is "partial 16S ribosomal RNA". It matches the Rfam family "Bacterial small subunit ribosomal RNA", at positions 383 to 607 of the family's 1533-position model. The record is from RNAcentral. Lineage: Bacteria; Pseudomonadati; Bacteroidota; Bacteroidia; Bacteroidales; Bacteroidaceae.